Molecule: long non-coding RNA, 898 nt
Organism: Salvia splendens (bonfire salvia)
Lineage: Eukaryota; Viridiplantae; Streptophyta; Magnoliopsida; Lamiales; Lamiaceae
Exons: 3
Source: RefSeq, a predicted model, not a curated record
CCAAAAUCCAUCAACUUCUUAUCUAUUCUUCAACUCCAGAAUGCAAUUUCAUCAUUCUUUCAAAACCCGCCGUUGUCUUCUUCCUUCCACCAAAAGGUGUAAUUUCUUAUCAAGUUCAUGAUAUAAAAAUCUCAAUUCGUUUGAUUCCAUGGCCAAUUUCUUGAUAUCACAGCUUGUUGAAAGGAAAGAACCGAGAGAGCCGUGGAUCCAAUUCUUCCUCUUCCUACCAAAGUAUUAUUUGGCCAAAUUCCACGAAUGGACCUCCUGGGAGGUAGUAUCCGUCGUUUGUUCCCGCAAAAAAAAAGUUUCCAGAGAGGGGAAAGACGCGAGAAGCUCACGCGUGUAUCCAUAGUAAACACGCGUUAGGCUCAUGAAUGUUUCAAUUAAACACGCGAUUUGCUCAUACGUGUUUGAAUUUAUACACGCGAGAGGCUCAAGCGUGUUUCAAUGUAUACACGCGAUUUGCUCAUGCGUGUUUUAAUUUAUACACGCAAUAAGCUGAUGCGUGUCUCCCUUGGAUACAAAAUUCAGUCCAGACUGCUGCUUCUGCUUUCUGCCUCUCACAGAACGCGAAAACUGCUCUGCUUCAUAGCCCCAUUCAUCCCAACCAGCAAAAAUCGAACCCUAAUCCGACAUUUAGCUGCUCCCAUUCCAAUUUGAAGUGUUGUUAGGUGUGAUGGUGUUUGUGAGUUUAUAUUGGGAUGGGAAAAUUAUUCAGCUCCUAGGUUUGGGUGUUGCUUAUGAUCCCCCUCGUGUAAAAUCAUUUUCUUGCAGCAGUUUUGGAGGAAUAAAAAACGGUGUACGACGGGAAUUGAUUUUAGAGUUAUUUUAUUAAACUUGUGUGUUAUUAGUGCGUUGAUAUAAAAGCUCGAAAAAUACACAUCACAAUCCACAUGUA